GCCGGGAUAGCCAAGCAGGUCCAAGGCGGCUGGCUGUCAACCAGCUGGCACGAGAGUGCCCCGCGGGUUCGAACCCCGCUCCCGGCG
RNAcentral lists this transfer RNA (87 nucleotides) under Microcaldota archaeon. Its description in RNAcentral is "tRNA-Asp". It matches the Rfam family "tRNA". From Rfam's summary of the family: Transfer RNA (tRNA) molecules are approximately 80 nucleotides in length. The record is from RNAcentral. Lineage: Archaea; Nanobdellati; Microcaldota.